Long non-coding RNA from Patiria miniata (bat star), 565 nucleotides. RefSeq lists it as uncharacterized. The record is from RefSeq and is a predicted model, not a curated record. NCBI's taxonomy places the organism in Eukaryota, Metazoa, Echinodermata, Asteroidea, Valvatida, Asterinidae. The transcript has 2 exons.
CAUUUACAUUUUUGCGAGGGAUUUGAUUAUCAGUUGGUUACCCUGUUGUUUUGAUCGGGAUUAUCACGCUCUUUUUCAAAAUAGUAUUUUUCCCGCUAGUCUGACAUUGUCCAAAGGCUGCUUCUGCCUGUCUGCCUGAGGUCUGUGGGGCAUUGCAGGACAAGGUGUAGACUCGGCGACGACAAGACCUCGGUGCAAAAUGGACGCGGUACAAUAGUUUGGUUUCCAUUUCAAGACACAUCUAGGAUGGAUAUCGGUCGGUCAGAGCUCGGGACAGGUCACGGUGACAUCACGGAACAAGCAAACCCGCAGAUGGAAUCCGAUUCCUUGAACCGUAGCCCGCACGGCGAAAGCACAUGUACAAGUCCAACACCAAUGGCAUCUAAUGAGGAUCAGGAAAGCUUUCCGGAGUUUCACGUACACGCUACAAACUACACCAAAGGACAACUGAAAAUGAAAUUGAAAAGCAAUAAGAAAUCUGGUCUGAUGGAAACCCAACAUAAACCGGAUAGGGUGGACACAUUAUCUGGAGGCCAAUUUGAGCAGGCUACCGACACACAGAUGG